This 198-nucleotide non-coding RNA is filed under the name Acetobacterium bakii. Lineage: Bacteria; Bacillati; Bacillota; Clostridia; Eubacteriales; Eubacteriaceae. The record is from RNAcentral.
UUAAAUAUAAACAAAACAGGUGUCGGUUGCAAUCCACUGUAUUGCAGGCCGAUUAAAAGGGAAGAGGGGUGAAAAUCCCCCGCGGUCCCGCCGCUGUAAGAGAAGAGUUCCUCCAGGAAUGCCACUGUAGAAAUAUGGGAAGGUAGGAGGUAAUGAUGACGCUUGAGCCAGAAGACCUGCCUGUUUUGACAGCUAACA